RNAcentral lists this ribosomal RNA (422 nucleotides) under uncultured Saccharicrinis sp. Its description in RNAcentral is "bacterial SSU rRNA". It matches the Rfam family "Bacterial small subunit ribosomal RNA", at positions 353 to 772 of the family's 1533-position model. The record is from RNAcentral. Lineage: Bacteria; Pseudomonadati; Bacteroidota; Bacteroidia; Marinilabiliales; Marinilabiliaceae.
AGUGAGGAAUAUUGGUCAAUGGACGCAAGUCUGAACCAGCCAUGUCGCGUGAAGGAAGACGGUUCUAUGGAUUGUAAACUUCUUUUAUACGGGAAUAAUGGUCACUACGUGUAGUGAUUUGAAGGUACCGUAUGAAUAAGCACCGGCUAACUCCGUGCCAGCAGCCGCGGUAAUACGGAGGGUGCGAGCGUUAUCCGGAUUUAUUGGGUUUAAAGGGUGCGUAGGCGGACUAAUAAGUCAGUGGUGAAAUCUUGCAGCUUAACUGUAAAACUGCCAUUGAUACUGUUAGUCUUGAAUUUAGUUGAGGUAGGCGGAAUGUGUUGUGUAGCGGUGAAAUGCAUAGAUAUAACACAGAACACCGAUUGCGAAGGCAGCUUACUAAGCUAUAAUUGACGCUGAUGCACGAAAGCGUGGGUAGCGAA